AACGAACGCUGGCGGCAUGCCUAACACAUGCAAGUCGAACGAGACCUUCGGGUCUAGUGGCGCACGGGUGCGUAACACAUGGGAAUUUGCCUCGGGGUAUGGAAUAACUCAGGGAAACUUGAGCUAAUACCAUAUAAUGUCUUCGGACCAAAGAUUUAUCACCCUGAGAUAAGCCCGCGUAGGAUUAGCUAGUUGGUGGGGUAAAGGCUCACCAAGGCGACGAUCCUUAGCUGGUCUGAGAGGAUGAUCAGCCACACUGGGACUGAGACACGGCCCAGACUCCUACGGGAGGCAGCAGUGGGGAAUAUUGGACAAUGGGCGAAAGCCUGAUCCAGCAAUGCCGCGUGAGUGAUGAAGGCCUUCGGUUGGUUAAAGACUCUUUUACUCGGGUACGGAUAAUAGUACGG
RNAcentral lists this ribosomal RNA (407 nucleotides) under uncultured bacterium. Its description in RNAcentral is "bacterial SSU rRNA". It matches the Rfam family "Bacterial small subunit ribosomal RNA", at positions 29 to 461 of the family's 1533-position model. The record is from RNAcentral.